UACGUAGGUGGCGAGCGUUGUCCGGAAUUACUGGGUGUAAAGGGCGCGUAGGCGGGGAUGCAAGUCAGAUGUGAAAUACUGAGGCUUAACCUCAGGGCUGCAACUGAAACUGCGUUUCUUGAGUGUCGGAGAGGGAAGUGGAAUUCCUAGUGUAGCGGUGAAAUGCGUAGAUAUUAGGAGGAACACCAGUGGCGAAGGCGACUUUCUGGACGAUAACUGACGCUGAGGCGCGAAAGCGUGGGGAGCAAACAGGAUUAGAUACC
Molecule: ribosomal RNA, 263 nt
Filed under: uncultured bacterium
Lineage: Bacteria
Description: partial 16S ribosomal RNA
Rfam family: Bacterial small subunit ribosomal RNA
Source: RNAcentral